RNAcentral lists this ribosomal RNA (459 nucleotides) under uncultured bacterium. RNAcentral's name for it is "partial 16S ribosomal RNA". It matches the Rfam family "Bacterial small subunit ribosomal RNA", at positions 338 to 795 of the family's 1533-position model. The record is from RNAcentral.
CCUACGGGUGGCAGCAGUGAGGAAUAUUGGUCAAUGGUCGCGAGCCUGAACCAGCCAAGUCGCGUGAAGGAUGACUGCCCUACGGGUUGUAAACUUCUUUUAUCAGGGAAUAAAGUGAGGCACGUGUGCCUUUUUGUAUGUACUUUAUGAAUAGGCUCGGCUAACUCCGUGCCAGCAGCCGCGGUAAUACGGAGGAUCCGAGCGUUAUCCGGAUUUUUUGGGUUUAAAGGGAGCGUAGAUGGGUUGUUAAGUCAGUGGUGAAAGUUUGCGGUUCAACCGUAAAAUUGCCAUUGAUACUGGCAGUCUUGAGUACAGAUGAGGUAGGCGGAAUGCGUGGUGUAGCGGUGAAAUGCUUAGAUAUCACGCAGAACUCCGAUUGCGAAGGCAGCUUACUAAACUGCCACUGACAUUGAUGCACGAAAGUGUGGGUAUCAAACAGGAUUAGAUACCCGGGUAGUC